GAGACACGGUCCAAACUUCCCUACGGGAGGCAGCAGUCAGGGAAUAUUCGCGCAAUCGGGGGGAAAACCCCUGACGCAGCAACCGCCCCCGUGGGAGGAACGAACACUUUUUCGGAGCGUAAACUCCUUUUCGUUAGGGAAAGAAUAAUUGACGGUACCUAACGAAUAAGCACCGGCUAACUCCGUGCCAGCAGCCGCAGUAAUACGGAGGGUGCAAGCCGUUACUCGGAAUCACUGGGCGUAAAGGACGCGUAGGCGGAUUAUCAAGUCUCUUGUGAAAUCCUAACGGCUUAACCGUUAAACUGCUUGGGAAACUGAUAAUCUAGAGUAAGGGAGAGGCAGAUGGAAUUCUUGGUGUAGGGGUAAAAUCCGUAGAUAUCAAGAAGAAUACCUAUUGCGAAGGCGAUCUGCUGGAACUUAACUGACGCUAAUGCGUGAAAGCGUGGGGAGCAAACAGGAUUAGAUACCCUGGUAGUCCACGCCCUAAACGAUGUAUACCGGUUGUUGCUGUGCUAGUCACGGCAGUAAUCCACCUAACGGAUUAAGUAUACCGCCUGGGGAGUACGGUCGCAAGAUUAAAACUCAAAGGAAUAGACGGGGACCCGCACAAGCGGUGGAGCAUGUGGUUUAAUUCGAAGAUACGCGAAGAACCUUACCCGGACUUGAUAUCUAACAAAUCAUCCAGAGAUGGAAGAGUGCCUGCUUGCAGAAACGUUAAGACAGGUGCUGCACGGCUGUCGUCAGCUCGUGUCGUGAGAUGUUGGGUUAAGUCCCGCAGCGAGCGCAACCCACGUCAUUAGUUGCUAACGGUUCGGCCGAGCACUCUAAUGAGACUGCCUUCGUAAGGAGGAGGAAGGUGUGGACGACGUCAAGUCAUCAUGGCCCUUAUGUCCGGGGCGACACACGUGCUACAAUGGCAUAUACAAUAAGACGCAAUAUCGCGAGAUGGAGCAAAUCUAAAAAAUAUGUCCCAGUUCGGAUUGGAGUCUGCAACUCGACUCCAUGAAGCCGGAAUCGCUAGUAAUCGUAGAUCAGCCAUGCUACGGUGAAUACGUUCCCGGGUCUUGUACACACCGCCCGUC
RNAcentral lists this ribosomal RNA (1082 nucleotides) under uncultured bacterium. RNAcentral's name for it is "bacterial SSU rRNA". It matches the Rfam family "Bacterial small subunit ribosomal RNA", at positions 321 to 1398 of the family's 1533-position model. The record is from RNAcentral.